Molecule: long non-coding RNA, 624 nt
Filed under: Lathyrus oleraceus (garden pea)
Lineage: Eukaryota; Viridiplantae; Streptophyta; Magnoliopsida; Fabales; Fabaceae
Description: Pisum sativum (pea) long non-coding RNA (PSAT_LNC023273)
Source: RNAcentral
UAACAUGGUCAAGGUAAGGGUGAGAUAAAUCUUAAGGGGAUACUAGACUAAAAUUCAAAGAGACAAAAAAGACUUGAAAGAAACUGUGGGAGUUGAAUUUACAAAAUAUUCCAUUUCCUUCAACAACUCUAUAGUAAUUAUUUUCAUUCAUAUUUUUCUUCUCCUUUCUCUUUUUUCUUUUCUUUUUUUUUUCUUUCUUUUUCAUAAGGAGUAUGUAUUGACAUGUAUACAUUCUUCUAUUUUUUUUCAUUCAUUUUUUUCUUUUCUAUUUUUCUUUUCUUUUUCUACCAACUUCUGAAAUAUUACAAACAUAAUUAUUCAACCCCGCACAACUCCAAACAAGACUCUUUCAACCCUUUGAAUAAGGUGAUAAUAUUGUUUUUCACUUCUCAGUUUGUAAUGAGUUUUAAACAAAAAAAAGGAUAAUAGGCUAAAGGGGGUUUCAAACAAGGAAUGAUAUUAUUUCAGGGUUGACUUUUUGACUAACUGGCUAGAAAAACAAAAUAAAAUAAAAUUUAUUUUAUCAUAUCAGUGUGCACAAGUAAACAACAACAUCAACAAGAAUCAAUUCAAGUUCUAGAGACUAACAGACAUGAGUGAAUCACACAAGAAAUAAAGAGAUGA